This 71-nucleotide transfer RNA is filed under the name Loxodonta africana (African savanna elephant). It matches the Rfam family "tRNA". From Rfam's summary of the family: Transfer RNA (tRNA) molecules are approximately 80 nucleotides in length. Their secondary structure includes four short double-helical elements and three loops (D, anti-codon, and T loops). Lineage: Eukaryota; Metazoa; Chordata; Mammalia; Proboscidea; Elephantidae. The record is from Rfam by way of RNAcentral.
GUAGUGGUAGUUCAGUGGUAGAGUUCUCACCUUCCAUGUGGGAGACCUGGGUUCGAUUUCCAGCCAGUGCA